AGUGAACGCUGGCGGUAGGCCUAACACAUGCAAGUCGAACGGCAGCACAGGAGAGCUUGCUCUCUGGGUGGCGAGUGGCGGACGGGUGAGGAAUACAUCGGAAUCUACUUUUUCGUGGGGGAUAACGUAGGGAAACUUACGCUAAUACCGCAUACGACCUACGGGUGAAAGCAGGGGAUCUUCGGACCUUGCGCGAUUGAAUGAGCCGAUGUCGGAGUAGCUAGUUGGCGGGGUAAAGGCCCACCAAGGCGACGAUCCGUAGCUGGGCUGAGAGGAUGAUCAGCCACACUGGAACUGAGACACGGUCCAGACUCCUACGGGAGGCAGCAGUGGGGAAUAUUGGACAAUGGGCGCAAGCCUGAUCCAGCCAUACCGCGUGGGUGAAGAAGGCCUUCGGGUUGUAAAGCCCUUUUGCUGGGAAAGAAAUCCAGCUGGCUAAUACCCGGUUGGGAUGACGGUACCCAAAGAAUAAGCACCGGCUAACUUCGUGCCAGCCGCCGCAGUAA
This 506-nucleotide ribosomal RNA is filed under the name uncultured bacterium. RNAcentral's name for it is "partial 16S ribosomal RNA". It matches the Rfam family "Bacterial small subunit ribosomal RNA", at positions 29 to 523 of the family's 1533-position model. The record is from RNAcentral.